CCUACGGGGGGCAGCAGUGAGGAAUAUUGGUCAAUGGACGAGAGUCUGAACCAGCCAAGUAGCGUGAAGGAUGACUGCCCUAUGGGUUGUAAACUUCUUUUAUAUGGGAAUAAAAUGUUCCACGUGUGGGAUUUUGUAUGUACCAUAUGAAUAAGGAUCGGCUAACUCCGUGCCAGCAGCCGCGGUAAUACGGAGGAUCCGAGCGUUAUCCGGAUUUAUUGGGUUUAAAGGGAGCGUAGGGGGAUUGUUAAGUCAGUUGUGAAAGUUUGCGGCUCAACCGUAAAAUUGCAGUUGAAACUGGCAGUCUUGAGUACAGUAGAGGUGGGCGGAAUGCGUGGUGUAGCGGUGAAAUGCUUAGAUAUCACGAAGAACUCCGAUUGCGAAGGCAGUUCACUGGACUGCAACUGACACUGAGGCUCGAAAGUGUGGGUAUCAAACAGGAUUAGAUACCCCAGUAGUC
RNAcentral lists this ribosomal RNA (460 nucleotides) under uncultured bacterium. RNAcentral's name for it is "partial 16S ribosomal RNA". It matches the Rfam family "Bacterial small subunit ribosomal RNA", at positions 338 to 795 of the family's 1533-position model. The record is from RNAcentral.